UACGUAGGUGGCAAGCGUUGUCCGGAAUUAUUGGGCGUAAAGCGCGCGCAGGCGGUCCUUUAAGUCUGAUGUGAAAGCCCACGGCUCAACCGUGGAGGGUCAUUGGAAACUGGGGGACUUGAGUGCAGAAGAGGAGAGUGGAAUUCCACGUGUAGCGGUGAAAUGCGUAGAGAUGUGGAGGAACACCAGUGGCGAAGGCGACUCUCUGGCCUGUAACUGACGCUGAGGCGCGAAAGCGUGGGGAGCAAACAGG
This 253-nucleotide ribosomal RNA is filed under the name uncultured bacterium. RNAcentral's name for it is "partial 16S ribosomal RNA". It matches the Rfam family "Bacterial small subunit ribosomal RNA", at positions 524 to 776 of the family's 1533-position model. The record is from RNAcentral.